GGUAGCUCAGUGGUAGAGCGCAUGCUUGGUGUGCACGAGGUCCUGGGUUCGAUUCCCAGUUUCUCCU
Molecule: non-coding RNA, 67 nt
Organism: Dallia pectoralis (Alaska blackfish)
Lineage: Eukaryota; Metazoa; Chordata; Actinopteri; Esociformes; Umbridae
Source: the annotation of a GenBank genome assembly